Molecule: unclassified non-coding RNA, 466 nt
Filed under: Hevea brasiliensis (rubber tree)
Lineage: Eukaryota; Viridiplantae; Streptophyta; Magnoliopsida; Malpighiales; Euphorbiaceae
Source: RNAcentral
GGGAAUAUAUCCAUUUCAAAAUAAAAAGGAUUACUGAAGUUCAUAAUGUCAUCGAUUUCGUACUUAAAUGAAUCCAAGAAUAGACCAAGAGAAAGCCCAGCCUUCCAGUAGUUAAACAUGGUUAUAAGGCUCCUAAUAUUGUUGAACAAAGGAAAAGAAGCCCUAUACAUAAGGGCUCCAAUCCCUUCCACUACUGCCACAGCAAAAGCGGCCGAUAGAAUAUCCCAAUCACCCGUCUGACCAAUAACAGUGGCAAAGGCAGUUGCACAAUAAAAUCCCACCAAGAAAAAGAGUAAUUUUAUUGGGAGAUUUUUCCUUAUCUUCUUGAUUCUCGCAACUAUCCUGGCCUGCAAAGUUUGGAUGGCCCUAACCAAUCUUGUUCCACCACUAGUGCUACUUGAAGGAGAAGGAUCCAAUCCACUAUCUACACUACUCCUAACCUGCCAGGCUAUCUUCCUGAAAUUUU